GUAUCUUAGGAUCUUCCCUUAGUAUUAAUAUUGAAAGUGACUUGCUUAAGGCCGGUCAACCCCAGGACUGAUGCGGUUGACGUAGGUUCUCUCCCUAACGUUCGAUGGAAGAACAGUACAUUUCACCCAGUUAAGAAGUGAAAGUUUCUAGUCCUCACGACUACAAGAACAUAAGGGGACAGAGUCUGCCAGUCUUACGAGAGCGGAGCAGGUGUGAUCCGGGAGCACCCCACGACCGCGUAUUCCUCUUGCCCCACUCACCGUGGCAACCUGCCCGGAUGAGCGAUACCCCCGCCUGGCCUCGACCCCUCCGCCGCAGCAAAUGGAGCUGACAGACGCAGCCCCAUCCUCUUCGCUGGGCGGCCAGAGCCAGCAGCAUCCUCCUGCUCACGGACUAUUAGCGCCGCUUCCUCUGCCAGCUACAGCGAGGGUGCGAGGCGAAAGGAAAAGAGGGGUAAGCAGGACUGACUCCUCAUUGAUACGCCUGGCCCCGGCCGGCACACGGCUCCAGAGUUGACCCCAUCGGCCGAAGGCAGAGCCGCAGAAUCCGGAUGUGCAACAGAACCCUGGCCGCUCUGUCCUCGCCGCGUCUAUGAUCCAUCCUCUCUCGGGCCACCUGCAAGCACCAAAAAGCAUGCGCUAUUGGUGGGGUGGAGUUAAAAGUUCCCUUCACCCAUCUUUCCCCGCCACCACCCCCACCACCCCGAAAAAGGGAAUGUGACGUACAGUACCUCCCGUCUCGUGCUGCGGGAGUUUUUAACGUAGGGGCGUGUUCAAAACUGUAUGACCCCCUCUACAGUCUGAAAUGGUACGACCCAUUAUACCUCCUCAAGCGCUAGACGUAGACCGUGCCUCUGUUACAGCCAAUUGGAUGUCCUCUCCGUGUGAGGACUUGUAAACCUGUGAAAGUCUUAUUUGCUUUCAGAACUCAUUGGGCUGCAACUCUUAGGCUUGUGAGCGUGCUUGGGAGGCAGAUGUGUACGUCCAAGUAAAUGCAUGCAUAGGACUGGGCUGUUAGUCCGUAGUCCUGUGCACGCUUAAGACCGGAGUAAGGUCUCUUGAGCUCAGUGGGACUACCGACUAAACAUGCUUCGGAUAGUCACCGUGUUCUUUUUUGGAAUAAAUUCUACUGGGACCUUCUUCAGAGAAAACGGGCAUAGGGAACGACUGCCCAUUGCAAGAAAAUAGUAUGCCCAAGUUCCCGUCUGCCCAUUGAACCACGGGUAUUUUACACCAGGCAUUUCAUGGCUACAAGUGUUGCUGUGUGAGUAGCCAAACUGGCACCUGCUAUGCAGGAGGAGGUAUCAGCAGGAUUGGGGGAACCUCAAGGUUGGCAGAAGGACAGAAAAUAUCUGAACGGGGAAAAUCCAUGAAGGAGGGUGCUGCAAAACAGCCCAGUGAGUCUGAACACGCUCAGUAGCAAUGGAAUACUUACUGACUGUUGAGGGAGGGAAUGGAAUGGAGUAGGUGGAAUCCUGUGCAGCCACACUCCACACUGGUCCCACUUGUAUGAAAUAUGAAUACCUGCAACAUUCUAAACCAA
Molecule: long non-coding RNA, 1543 nt
Organism: Rhineura floridana
Lineage: Eukaryota; Metazoa; Chordata; Lepidosauria; Squamata; Rhineuridae
Exons: 2
Source: RefSeq, a predicted model, not a curated record